This 256-nucleotide unclassified non-coding RNA is filed under the name Hevea brasiliensis (rubber tree). The record is from RNAcentral. Lineage: Eukaryota; Viridiplantae; Streptophyta; Magnoliopsida; Malpighiales; Euphorbiaceae.
CUCAUGGCCCUCGAUCCAAGUUUUGACGGCUUCACGUUGUUCUUGCAGUGCAAUAUCGGAGUAUGCAGGCUCGCUCGGUCGGACGCGGUAAUAGGCAAUAACCUUCAUGCAGAAUCCCUGAUUAAAGGCACGGACAGCCCGUGCCCCCUAGAUUCAAAUGAGGCCCCGAGAAAUUGCGGGGUUUUGCAAAGAAAGGCCGAGUGUCUCCCGAAAGCCGCAUUUCAGGGGCGGGCACUGCGACAUCAGAAGAAUUCGC